CCAAUAGCGUCUAUUAAAGUUGUUGCAGUUAAAAAGCUCGUAGUUGAAUUUCGGGAUCAAAGAAUCGGUCAUGCCUUGGUAUGUACUGGUUUUAUUGGUUCUCACCUUCUAAAGAACCAUAAUGUCAUUCAUUUGAUGUUAUGGGGAAUUAGGACUGUUACCUUGAAAAAAUUAGAGUGUUUAAAGCAGGCUUACGCUUGAAUACAUUAGCAUGGAAUAAUGAAAUAGGACAUCAGAUUCUAUUUUGUUGGUUUCUAGGAUCGAUGUAAUGAUUAAUAGGGAUAGUUGGGGGCAUUAGUAUUCAAUUGUCAGAGGUGAAAUUCUUGGAUUUAUUGAAGACUAACUACUGCGAAAGCAUUUGCCAAGGAUGUUUUCAUUAAUCAAGAACGAAAGUUAGGGGAUCGAAGACGAUCAGAUACCGUCGUAGUCUUAACCAUAAACUAUGCCGACUAGGGAUCGGAUGAUGUUAAUUUUAUAAUGACUCAUUCGGCACCUUACG
This 499-nucleotide ribosomal RNA is filed under the name uncultured Glomeromycotina. RNAcentral's name for it is "partial small subunit ribosomal RNA". It matches the Rfam family "Eukaryotic small subunit ribosomal RNA", at positions 591 to 1092 of the family's 1831-position model. Lineage: Eukaryota; Fungi; Glomeromycota. The record is from RNAcentral.